Molecule: ribosomal RNA, 468 nt
Filed under: uncultured bacterium
Lineage: Bacteria
Description: partial 16S ribosomal RNA
Rfam family: Bacterial small subunit ribosomal RNA
Source: RNAcentral
GACGAACGCUGGCGGCGUGCUUAACACAUGCAAGUCGAACGGAAAGGCCCUGCUUUUGUGGGGUGCUCGAGUGGCGAACGGGUGAGUAACACGUGAGUAACCUGCCCUUGACUUUGGGAUAACUUCAGGAAACUGGGGCUAAUACCGGAUAGGAGCUCCUGCUGCAUGGUGGGGGUUGGAAAGUUUCGGCGGUUGGGGAUGGACUCGCGGCUUAUCAGCUUGUUGGUGGGGUAGUGGCUUACCAAGGCUUUGACGGGUAGCCGGCCUGAGAGGGUGACCGGCCACAUUGGGACUGAGAUACGGCCCAGACUCCUACGGGAGGCAGCAGUGGGGAAUAUUGCACAAUGGGCGGAAGCCUGAUGCGGCAACGCCGCGUGCGGUAUGACGGCCUUCGGGUUGUAAACCGCUUUCGCCUGUGACGAAGCGUGAGUGACGGUAAUGGGUAAAGAAGCACCGGCUAACUACGUG